GCGGCACGUGGGAUCCUCCCGGACCGGGCACGAACGCGCGUCCCCUGCAUCGGCAGGCGGACUCUCAACCACUGCGCCACCAGGGAAGCCCUGUGAGUAUGGAAAGUUUUUAGACUUCAGUGGAAAAGGAUUUCUGUUACUCAUUGUUAAUAACUCCUUAAUACUGUAACAUGUUCAUGCCUCUUCCACAUAAUUUGUUUUUCAGCAUACCGGAACUUUCGUUAUAACCUGCUUGGUCCUGAUAAAAUCUUAACAAAAACAAGUUAAAAUAUGUGGUUGUCUUUGGUAUUCUCCAUGCUAUAACCCAGUUUAAUUGAUGCAUUUGGGACCUGGAGUUGAAAUAACACCUACUGGAAUUCAGAAUUGCAUUAACAUUGCUCCAGUGGUCACAGGAACAGAAAAAAAAAGAAAAAUAGAAUGAAUGAUUUAGAAAAAAAUGGCAACUUGGGGGGAAAAAAACCCUGAAAGAAGAAAAUAAGGAAAUUAAGAAUUAAGAAGAAGAAAGAAUUUACUUGGCAGCUUGCUUAGCCUCUCAGACCCAUCCUGUUGGGAGAGCUUAUACCAGCAUUAUUGUGCUAGAUGCCGCUGACGAGAGGGAGGUAUCAAAUGACCUAAAUAUGUGUCUACCAAGUUAUGCAUGAUGCCCAUAGUUACCAGGCUGAAGGGCUGAAGGAAUAGCAAGAGCCUAACACUCAGCAAGUCUAUUCGAGGCUGAAUUGGACGUUAUGAGGCAAUGAUGUUUAAAAAGAAAGAAAGUAAAGGACACUUCAUACACAGAACAACCACUGGAACCUUAAACUGUCCUGAUCUAGGCCAAGUGGCAUAUUUGAGCUCGUACACAUUUUGGCCAUGUGCCUCUAAAUUCGUGCUAAAUUUAUGUACCAUAUUUCCGCUCUCACUGAUGCUGAAAUUUAAAUUUGUCAGUGAUGUAACUGGAUUUUUGCGAAUUAGAAAGUACCUCAACGGGUUUUAAAAACUGGGAAAGCGUUUUUAGGCUACAAGUAAAAGUGAAGUUUGUGAUAUUGUUAUGAAAUACAAUUCUUGGCAUGUGGGAAGUCCUCAAAUACUUCUUGAAGAAUGAUCUGGAUCAAAAAGGACUUGUGGAAAUGGUAUUUUUGAUCCUGCCACUGUUUUGAUUCAGUAAUUAAAAAGAAUACUUAUGGUGCAGGCCGGGUGAUGUCUGUUUUAAAAAUAGGUCACAUAUGUGGCACAAAUUAAAAUUCUAUUUACACAUCCAUUUAUAGCUGUCUUUAACUACAUCCCUUGCAAGAUAGGCCAUUGAAAAAGUGGUUCAACCCUUAAUAUGUAUGUAUAUUUUAAUAACUUCAAGAUCAAGGAUCUGCUAAUGAGCUCACAUUUGGAUUACAUUUGAGUUGUAUGUCUGAAUUCACCUGCCACUGAUACAUCUCAAAAGAAGUACGUUUAUUUGAUCUGAGCAGUACUGUCUUUUCCUAUUUCUCUUUCUUCACCUUUAUAAAAUGGAAGUUGCAACUCUGGACAUUAUUCCUUAGGGCACUGGAAGGAUGCAUUAAAUGAUUUUAAGUACUCUUCCCCCCCAUCCCCCCACCCCCACAAGGAGAAAGAUACGGCUUCUUAAACCCCAAGUAGAAGACUGUGUUCAAUCGUUAGCAUUUUAGUAUUCUUGAAAUUGAAGUAACUAACUUGCUUUUGACCUAUUUCACAAAGAAGACAAAUGACUUUUUCAGACACUUAACAAGAGAUGGAAGGAGUGGGGUGGCUUUUGAGUUUAGUCUUUCAGUCCAUCCACUAGGUGUCUCUCUUUUCUCCAUUCAUAAAUGAAUAUAUUUCAAUUAGAUUUGCUGCUAUCAAGAACAAUUUGGAUCUGGGUUAUAGGAACAACACAUUUCACUUUCCCAUUUAAAGGAUGCCAUCCUCAGCAAUAUACCUUUGACUUCAGUAAAAACGAAAUGUUCCUUAGGCUGUUUCAGUAAUGCACAGUGUGAUUUAUUCUGCAGUAUCGGUUUGUUAACAUUCUCUAUGCUAAAUACUGUUCAAGAUGCAGGAGCAUUAUAGCAAAACAGAAAUGGUGUUCUUUUCUGAGACUUUAAGGGUAGGCUUUGUACAGUUUCUCUUUAGUGAUGUAGAUCAUUGGAAAGAUGCCAAGUUAAUUGCAAAGUCAACAAAAAUAAGAUCAGUGUCAUCUCAAGUUACAAAGACAUGAUUUGAUAAUUGUCUUUAAUUCA
Long non-coding RNA from Aethalodelphis obliquidens (Pacific white-sided dolphin), 2204 nucleotides. RefSeq lists it as uncharacterized. The record is from RefSeq and is a predicted model, not a curated record. The transcript is spliced from 2 exons. NCBI's taxonomy places the organism in Eukaryota, Metazoa, Chordata, Mammalia, Artiodactyla, Delphinidae.